This 254-nucleotide ribosomal RNA is filed under the name uncultured bacterium. RNAcentral describes it as "partial 16S ribosomal RNA". It matches the Rfam family "Bacterial small subunit ribosomal RNA", at positions 524 to 776 of the family's 1533-position model. The record is from RNAcentral.
UACGUAGGGGGCAAGCGUUGUCCGGAUUUAUUGGGCGUAAAGAGCUCGUAGGCGGCUCGGUAAGUCGGAUGUGAAACCUCCAGGCUCAACCUGGAGACGCCAUCUGAUACUGCCGUGGCUUGAGUCCGGUAGAGGAGCAGGGAAUUCCUGGUGUAGCGGUGAAAUGCGCAGAUAUCAGGAGGAACACCAGCGGCGAAGGCGGCAUCCUGGACCGACAUUGACGCUGAUGAGCGAAAGCUAGGGGAGCAAACGGG